This is a non-coding RNA of Leisingera methylohalidivorans DSM 14336, 116 nucleotides long. NCBI's taxonomy places the organism in Bacteria, Pseudomonadati, Pseudomonadota, Alphaproteobacteria, Rhodobacterales, Roseobacteraceae. The record is from Rfam.
CGCUUAUUUAGCCCAGGCGAGGCUCGACCGCCCGUUCCGCAAAUGCCUGCCUCCUCUGACGAAGUCCGGGAGGUGGUCGGAGUUGAGCCGAUCUGCCGCGCGCUGCCGACGGCCCU